UUUUUUCUUUUUAACAACAAGCCACUGAAAUGUUGACAUGUCAUUGCGCGUGAAAACACCAAAAAAUGAGCAAGUGAAAAUGUAGUUUAUGAUUUUUUAAUAAGAAGAAAAAGUACAUGUCAAUAACAACAAGAAUUCAACGGCUAUAUUCUUUUUCCCAAUUUGCAAAUAAAAGAACAGAAAUUGGCCACAAAAAUUUCUUAUUUCCAAAGAACAAAUUCAAAGCAAAAGUUGAAACCUUCAUCUUCUUCCCGAAUUCGUUAGCUAUAAAUUUCUUCUGAAAAUCUUCUUUUUGUGAACAAUAUUUUUUUUUUCAAUUGAAAACCCUAAAUUUAUGUUGAAAGGGAAAACCUUCCUCCUCAUUAUGUAAUUCCUCAAUGCAAUUGUGGUGAAGAAGCCGAGUUCAAGAUUUCUUGGACUGGAUCGAACCUAAAAAGGAGGUUUCUUGGAUUUAGAAAUUUUGGGGUAAGAUUAAACUUUAGAGUUUAAUGAUUUAGGGUGUUUGUUGAGAAGGUUGAAUGCUGCUGAGAGGGAAAGUGCUAGUAGAGUAAUGGCAACAGAAAUUAGCGGGGAAAGAAUGGAAAGAAGGGAAAGAGAAAACUGUAAUGGUUGUGUGAACAGUGUGUUAGUUGUUUAGUUGUAUAACUUGGUUUUUGUUGUGGGUAGGAAGUAGGAACUAAUAUAUGUGUACUCUAUUUUGACUCAAUGAAACCUUCCUAUUGAAAUAAGC
Molecule: long non-coding RNA, 730 nt
Filed under: Ricinus communis (castor bean)
Lineage: Eukaryota; Viridiplantae; Streptophyta; Magnoliopsida; Malpighiales; Euphorbiaceae
Description: long non-coding RNA (RCOM_LNC001934)
Source: RNAcentral